GCCACCCCAUAACCGUUCGGUCUGGACCUAUCACUGGCUUAGGUGUUCUUUGACAUGGCUUCCUCUCAGCCCGAGAAGCCUUCGACCUGUAUGACCGUUCGGUCUGCAGGGUCUCGGUCAGAGAAGAGCUAGCUCUUCCCUUGACCGUUCGGUCUGGCAAGAGUGCUUGGUAGUGGCACCCAAUUCAAUCCCAGUGGUUCGGCCACUACUUCUAGUGUCCGGUUUAUUNCUU
This 232-nucleotide long non-coding RNA is filed under the name Vigna radiata. RNAcentral's name for it is "long non-coding RNA (VRAD_LNC012757)". The record is from RNAcentral. Lineage: Eukaryota; Viridiplantae; Streptophyta; Magnoliopsida; Fabales; Fabaceae.